RNAcentral lists this unclassified non-coding RNA (144 nucleotides) under uncultured Ascomycota. RNAcentral's name for it is "sequence contains ITS1". Lineage: Eukaryota; Fungi; Ascomycota. The record is from RNAcentral.
CCGAGUUGAUUCGAGCUCCGGCUCGACUCUCCCACCCUUUGUGUACCUACCUCUGUUGCUUUGGCGGGCUGCCCAGGCACCCGCCAGAGGACUUCAAAACUCCAGUCAGUGAACGUCUCAGUCUGAAAAAACGUUAAUAAACUA